Molecule: long non-coding RNA, 3644 nt
Organism: Artibeus jamaicensis (Jamaican fruit-eating bat)
Lineage: Eukaryota; Metazoa; Chordata; Mammalia; Chiroptera; Phyllostomidae
Exons: 6
Source: RefSeq, a predicted model, not a curated record
ACCCCACGCUGAAUGGGUCACGUGACCCGCGCUUCCUCUGGAGUUCACUGGACCCCUCAGCAAACAGGACUGCACUUCCUCUGAGACGGAAGCACUAAGAACCUGAAGCUCCUGGAGAGUGAAUCCAAGGCCGAGGGAAAAACCUUAGGGCCGGAAGGGGAGAGGCCAAGUCACGGUGACAUCUUCGAGCUCCAUUUUCCCUGUGCCUGCAGCCAACACAACUCCAAGACUUUCUCGUUAUGGAAACUGUUUCUGCUGAGAGACGAGGCCCUGGCUGGAGAUAGAGGCAGGAAAGUGAACCCACAGACAUGGGGAGCUGACGGUGCCUGUGCGUUUAUCAUGUGUUUGCAGUCUGCACACCAGAGAGGCGACCGGCCCCUCCCGUCUUCAGAUCUGCCGAGCUGGAAACAGACCUGAGAGAGAGGAGGCCUGAGCAGUGUCGGGAAAUUUCUUCCCUCAGAACAAAAGGAGGGAGACUCUUAAGUGUCUGGCCCUAUGGGGUGACUCUGCAGCACCAGAACCCUGCCCUCAGGGCUGACACCGGCAGCCUUGGAGCUCGGGGAGGAGGGACGAGGUGCUCCCCAGCCACUUCAGCCUCCAGUCCCGGGGAAUGUGGGCUCUGGGUUCCAACUCCGAGGCCCGUGUCCCCUGGCAGGCACUCGGGGUGUCAUCCCAUCACCUGAGCCUAGCUGUGUGUCGGGCACGUAUAUAACAGGAGCCCGGAUGACUGACCGACGAGUGUCAGCCCUGCCCCCUGCAAACCUAGAGUCCAGCCAGGGUGGCUUCAGCAGUGCCGCUCGCCCCGGGCACCAGCAGCCUGCUCAGGGCCGCAGACUCAUUCCUGCCCUCCCUUCCUUCCUCUGUCCCUGUGGGGUGGGGACACGGCUAUGAGCCAGUCCGUGGCAAAGCCAUGAGGGAGACUAGAAAUGAGCACGAGACGAGCAGAGCUCACAGAUCCACUUCUUGGGGACACCUGAGCAGAUGUUGCACGGCACACACCUCCCAGGACACGCUCUUCUCACCAAGGGUGCACUGUCCCAAGUGGGUACCACUGGCCCUGUUUACACUUGAGAAAACUGGGGCUCAGAGAGGUAAAUGACAGUCCCUGGGAGGGGCAGCCAGGUCACCUAACUCCAAUUUCCCCUUCCUCGCUACCUUUCUCAGCAAGGCUGAAUACAAACGAUACGCAAACACAUUCGAAAUACGUGAGUGAGCGCUGUCCGGACCAAGGUUCCCGGCUCCGGGACAAGUUCCUGGGAAGAGUAAAAAACUCCCAGCCCACCUCCCUGGUCCUGCUUGUUUCUACCGCUUAAUUCCCACAAAACGAGAUGCUCACUACUUUUAUCCCAGUCCCCUUAGGUGACAUUUGUCACCCGCUCUCACGAAGGCCUCGGUGAGGAUCCCAAUAAUCUUCCUCCCUCCAUGUGGGCUGUCGGCCUCAUCUACCUCUUUUGUUCUUCCGUCCGGUCACCUUGGACCCCCCAACUCUCUGCCCCAGCCUGGCAACACAAAAAACAUUUAAUUUGCCAAUCUUUGACAGAGGAGAGGAUCUUAUGAUGGUCUUACUCUCCUGGCUCUGGGACUGAGGUUCCCCACAUUAGGGGGCUGCUAGUUUCUGCUGUCAUUGCUGAGAACGGCCCAGUCGUUUGAAUUAUUUCUCUGGGACGGAUUCCAGAGUGGAGUCGCUUUCGAGUUUCUGCUGAGUGUUGCCGAGCUGCUUCCCACCCGAGUGGUCUGAGCCUGCCUGUUUCACAGCAUCCUUACCAGCUCUGGGUUUUAGCAUUAACGUGUUAAAAGAGUUUAUCGGAAAAUGAAAUCUAGUUCCACUUUCCAGGAUAUUUAAGUUGUAUUCCUUCAUUUUUUGUGAGGUGCUGCCUCAAUCCUUUUAUAUGCACCGAAGGAGUUUUUGUUUUCUCCACCGAUUUGGGUGUACCGGAUGUACCCCUCCCCCCCACCCCAGUCCACGGGAGGGCGGGUUCAGAGUAGGACCGAACUGCCCACCCGAUUGCUUAACCCAGAGCUGUGUUUUCAGACUUUCUAACCAAGCAGCAGAGUCUUAUCUCACAGAACCUCACAGAGCCCCUCUGCACAAAAAACCCUAAUAAGUGGCGGAUGGGGGAAGGCCCGGAGCGCUAUCUCCCUCCCCUUCCGGGGACCCUGUCUUACCAGCACAAAGGCCUCUGGGACCUUCUUUUCCUUCGGUCUGAGGAGGGCGUCGCUCUGGAGUCAAGGACCUGAAAAGAGACGAUGACCGAUGACCGGUUUACAAAGGUGCCUGGAACUCAGCCCACAGCAGAACAGCCCCGCACAGGUGACCCAGGAGAAGGCACAGCCUCAUGAAGGCAGGGGUUACGUCCGCUUGUUCACUUUGGAUCUGUGACUCCCAGACAGCACCUAGCUCAGAGGAGACGCCGAUACAAAUUGGCUGCGGGCUGGAACUGACCUCCCAAGAAAGGAAAGUGUCCUGGCCUUGCCACCACCUCCGUCUUCGCUCCCGCCUGAAAACACGAAGACAGAGCCACUGGCCUGGAGGAAAGGGGAGGAAGCUGAGCCUAGUCACCCAUUUGAACAGGCCUCCCUGACCCUGCGUGAGAAGUGGGGCAUCCAGACAAGUCCUGCCUGUCCCCUGAGGGCUGUUAGGAUCAAGUGUUUCCAAGGCUCUGAAGAGGAUCCCAACCUCCCAGUUCAGCUUUGAGAGGAGUGACCACCUAGCACUCAGAGGGCCCGCAGCCCAGCACCCUACGAACACUGCCAAGUCCUGCAGGCGAUCAAACCACCAAACACCAGACGUGCACAAGUGUUAAGGUCAGAAAACUCAACAGAUGUCCAGCCUCAUCUACCACCUAAGACAUAGCUGGAAUCCAAAAAGCAGCAGCAAGCACCCCUGAACAGUCAAAAUGAGUGCGGCAGCGCCUCCCACACUGGCACAGAGGGACCCUGAGGCCCUCACUCAGAGCCCACCUGCCUUCACUGAGCACACGUUUCUGACAAACAUUGUAACUUGGAUCCAUUUACACAAAAGACAAACCCAAGAGGAAAAGCGCAAGGAAAAGAAAAACAGCCUUGGAGAGCUGAAGUGGUUUGCCCCAACUCACACUGCAGAAGCUUGUUCCACGUCACGCCUCCCCAACGCCCCCCCCCCACGCUUCCCUCCAGGUCCCCCCAGGGCCCUGCCCGUGUGCCAGGCCUGCUCCCGACCACAAGUGGGCCCGCUGGGCCUGAGCUCAGGUGGCGCCCGCAAGGGUGGGGGUGGAGCUCCCACCGACCCAUCCAUCAGCUCACUGUGGGCCCCGGGCUCCUGCACUGGCCUUCACAGUUUCAGCAACUCUGAUGGCUGGAGGUGAGGGUACCAUCCCCACUCUGCUUCUGAACCCAGGAUGCAGUGCCCCUCUCCUUGCAGGCAGACCUUGGGCAGUGCAGGCCUCGCAGCUGGAAGACCAACAGCUGCGAGAGCCCCAUCACGGGGCGUAGUUUUGUGAACCCCAUCUUCCAGGUGAAGUUACUGCUGGUGACAGGCUGUUUUUUCCUCUAUAAUUGUUAAGAGAAAUACACUCAUUUCAGCUUAUUCAAAACCAUGGAAAAUCAUUGAGGUUUUCCCUGUUUGAAGGUCAAACUAUACAAAGGUAGGUGGACUCAUAGAAAUC